Molecule: transfer RNA, 85 nt
Filed under: Methyloversatilis discipulorum
Lineage: Bacteria; Pseudomonadati; Pseudomonadota; Betaproteobacteria; Nitrosomonadales; Sterolibacteriaceae
Also listed under: 7 other names
Description: tRNA-Leu
Rfam family: tRNA
About the family: Transfer RNA (tRNA) molecules are approximately 80 nucleotides in length. Their secondary structure includes four short double-helical elements and three loops (D, anti-codon, and T loops).
Source: RNAcentral
GCCCAGGUGGCGAAAUUGGUAGACGCACUGGAUUUAGGUUCCAGCGCCGCAAGGCGUGGAGGUUCGAGUCCUCUCCUGGGCACCA